This 1026-nucleotide long non-coding RNA is filed under the name Equus asinus (donkey). RNAcentral's name for it is "lncRNA (ENSEASG00005023682.1)". Lineage: Eukaryota; Metazoa; Chordata; Mammalia; Perissodactyla; Equidae. The record is from RNAcentral.
GUGGCCUCCGAGGCGCCGCAGGGAGUUCUGCGUUCACUGUGGUGGCCGUGCGCCCCCUGCCGGCCACAUGAGGAAUCACUGGAAUUGAAUUUUCCAUUUCAUCUGCGUGAAUUUGCAGCCAUAUCUUGAUCACGGUAUUCCCGUGUGAUCCUUUUUCUUUAGUUGCAGGUCCUUCUAGUUGUGGCACGUGGGAUGCCACCUCAGCACGGCCUGAUGAGCAGUGCCGUGUCCGCGCCCAGGAUCUGAACCAGUGAAACCCUGGGCCGCCGCAGCGGAGGAUGAGAACUUAACCACUCACCCAUGAGGCCGGCCCCCUCUGUCUUUUUCUAACUUUGGGUUUAGUUUUUCCUUUUCUAGCUCCUUGAUGUGUAAAUUAAGAUAUUGAUUUGAGAGCUUUCUUGAAGAGGAUAUACAGAGUCCAAUAAGCAAUUGGAAAGACGUUCAACAUCAUCAGCCACUAGGAAAACACAAACUGAAACCACAAUGAGAUAUCACUGCACAUCCAUUAGAAUGGCUAAAAUUUAAAAGUUACCACACCAAAAGCUGGCGAGGAGGCAGAGAAACUGGAUCACUCACACAUUGCUGGUGGGAAUGGAAAAUGGCACAGCCCCUGUGGAAAUCAGUUUGGCAGUUUCUGAAAAACUCAGCAAUGAAAACUGAUACAAGCGACAACCUGGAUGGAUCUCCAGAAAAUUACCCUGAUGGAAAAAGCUAAUCACAAAAGAGUACAUACUGUAUGAUUUGGCUUAUGUAGAAUUCAUGAAAUGAUAAAUACAUAGAAACGGAAGAACAAAUAAGUGGUUGCCAGGGGUUAAGGUGGGGGUGGCUUCGGAAGGGAAGUGAGCGUGGCUAUAAAAGGACAAACAUGGGUUCCUUGCAGUGAUGUUACUGUUCUGUAUCCUGACUGUAUCAAUGUCCUUCCCUCUCUCCAGGCUGUCACACUGAUCUAUAGUUUUGUAAGAUGUUACCAUUGGCGAAAACUGGGUAAAGGGUACACGGGAUCUCUCGAUAUUUUUUACAACUGGA